Molecule: ribosomal RNA, 408 nt
Filed under: Triticum aestivum (bread wheat)
Lineage: Eukaryota; Viridiplantae; Streptophyta; Magnoliopsida; Poales; Poaceae
Description: partial small subunit ribosomal RNA
Source: RNAcentral
AUGGUGAGCGGGGCGGCGCCGCCGCCGCCGCCGGAGAGUGGUGCAGGGAGCAGUAGUGGCGUGGGAAGGGAGGAGACGAAAGGGAAGGGCAGUGCGCGCGGGCGGGGGAGCAGGAAGGCGAGCCGGCCGCGGUUCGCGUUCCAGACCAAGAGCGAGAACGACGUCCUCGACGACGGCUACCGGUGGAGGAAGUACGGCCAGAAGGCCGUCAAGAACAGCGCCUUCCCCAGGAGCUACUACCGGUGCACGCACCACACAUGCAACGUGAAGAAGCAGGUGCAGCGGCUGGCCAAGGACACGAGCAUCGUGGUGACCACGUACGAGGGCGUCCACAACCACCCCUGCGAGAAGCUCAUGGAGGCCCUCAACCCCAUCCUCAGGCAGCUUCAGUUCCUCUCACAGCUCUAA